GAUGAACGCUGGCGGCGUGCCUAACACAUGCGAGUCGAGCGGACAGACGAGGAGCUUGCGCCGCGGACGUUAGCGGCGGACGGGAGAGUCACACGUGGAUAACCCACCUAUAUGACGGGGAUAAUUACGGGAAACCGGAUCAAAUACCGGAUAAUAUAUUGAACCGCAGGGUUCAAUGGUGAGAGACGGCUUUGCGGUCACUUAUAGAGGGAUCCGCGCCGCAUUAGCUAGUUGGUAAGGUAACGGCUUACCAAGGCAACGAUGCGUGGCCGAGCUGUGAGGGUGGUCGGCCACCCUGGAACUGAGACACGCUCCAGACUCCUACGGGAGGCAGCAGUAGGGAAUCUUCCGCAAUGGGCGGAAGCCUGACGCAGCAAGGCCGCGUGAGUGAUGAAGGUCUUCGGUUCGUAAAACGCUGUUUUUGGGGAAGAACAGCUGUGUAAGUAGCUAAGGACGUCUUGACGGUACCUAAUGAAGAAGCCACGGCUAACUACGUG
This 497-nucleotide ribosomal RNA is filed under the name uncultured bacterium. RNAcentral describes it as "partial 16S ribosomal RNA". It matches the Rfam family "Bacterial small subunit ribosomal RNA", at positions 28 to 507 of the family's 1533-position model. The record is from RNAcentral.